AUACGUAGGUGGCGAGCGUUGUCCGGAAUUACUGGGUGUAAAGGGCGUGUAGGCGGGUAUGCAAGUCAGAUGUGAAACCCCGAGGCUCAACCUUGGGCUUGUAUCUGAAACUGUGUAUCUUGAGUGUUGGAGAGGGAAGUGGAAUUCCUAGUGUAGCGGUGAAAUGCGUAGAGAUUAGGAGGAACACCAGUGGCGAAGGCGACUUCCUGGCCAAUAACUGACGCUGAGGCGCGAAAGCGUGGGGAGCAAACAGGAUUAGAUACCCUGGUAGUCCACGCCGUAAACGAUGGAUACUAGGUGUAGGUGAUGAAAAAUCAUCUGUGCCGUAGUAAACACACUAAGUAUCCCACCUGGGGAGUACGGCCGCAAGGUUGAA
Molecule: ribosomal RNA, 376 nt
Filed under: uncultured bacterium
Lineage: Bacteria
Description: bacterial SSU rRNA
Rfam family: Bacterial small subunit ribosomal RNA
Source: RNAcentral